GGAGAGACCCAAAAAAUCAUGGUGUCUGCAAAACUGAUUUACCACAGAUGAUCAGAUGAUCAGCUUGCAGCUGCAAGUUGUAGGGAUGAUAAGCAGACAAUACUACUUGUUGAGAUGAACCACAACUUAGUCUUGGACGUGAUGCUAAUAUUGCUCUUGUACAGCAUCAUUGUUGGGUAGGGGUUGCUGGCAAAAGCACAGCUCACAUCACAGUCAUUGCCAUGACUCAUUCUGUGAUUCUUCAAUGGGACGACAAAACAAGGAAGCAGAGAUCUUCCUGGGAUACUCCAUCUUGAAGCCAAAACACUCUGCUGAGGAUGGAGUCACUGUGGGAUGCUUCGCACUGCACUGUCUGUUGCACACGCAAACACAGAGCCAGCACCAUCAAGACAGAGUCUUCUGCACAAGUACAAAUCCAAAGAGCUUGGGUAUGGUAUUUCAUGACCUGGGCCUUAUUUGCCACCAGGGAAAACUCAGGGAAACGAUUUCAUUCAGGGAAGAACAAACAAUACACCACAUUACUGUUAGCAUCUGACCAGCAUACCUAUAUCAACAUGUAAACAAAUACAAACUGAAAAGCAAGAGCAGAAGGAAUCAAAAAUCUUAUUCUCUCAUCAAUCUAUGCAACUGUAAGCAAGCAAUUAAUUUUGUUGUUUCUUGGUCUGUAAAUGAGGUAUCAUGUUUUUGCUCCAUGGGGAUAUAUUGAUGCCUUCUCUCACUAACGCCUUUAAAUUGUAAAGUGCUUUUGGAUAUUUGGCUCCCAAAGCACUUUAGAAAUGCAUGAUUAAAUUACACCCAAGUACAAACCAAAGCAGGUGAUCUUGUAAAGGAAGGGAUAUUACUCUGCUGGUGUCUCUCUAAGGCACUAAUAGUCUACGGAAUGCCCUGAGGGAAUCAAGGGAAAGUGAGUGUGCAAUUUAUUUUCCAGUGUCCACUGCAAAACUUCCACUUCCAGCCUGUUUAAACACAUUUCUUGAAGUCUUUAUUAUCAACUUUUGCACUGGAAUGAAGACCCUUCAGAUAAAUCCCUGGAUCCUAAAUGUAGCAAUGUAUAGCAAAAUUCUCCUAUGAUAACUCAUUCUCAGAAAAUAAUUUAUCUCCUUCUUAUCCUUCAGAGCUUUUCUACCAUCUCUCAGGUUUGUGCAAAUAAACCAUGUGACUUGCCAUUUAUAAAGAAGAAUAGGAAAUCAGUUCUCAUCUGCUUGUGUCCUGCUAUCCUCCCUAAAAACAGGAAAAACCCAACCUCCCCAACUCCAGUAUUGAUGGAGAAAUUGUGUGAAAUUUCUGUCAGCAGAGGAAUACCUCCUGUCAGUACCCAGAGGUGACCAAGAUGAUCAAGUUUGUUCUAUACUGUACCUGCAACUUGCAUCUGAAUGUCAUAAAGGCAUUCUCCAUAACUGUUCUUGAGGAUAAUCUGGUACUAGUCAGAAACCAAUUGCCUGGUCUUGUGAAUAGGGAUGGCAAAUGGUUCUUGUGCUCCCUCAUGCUGGUAUGCCUUCUUUUUGCCACAUCACUGGUGGUGGUGGUGACGAGUCCUGGCCAGGGCAAACAUACAGCUAUAGUGUUCUGCUUCCUGGCUCAGAAGGCAACAGAAACAAGCUACAUCUCUGAGCACAAAAGAGAUAUCUGUGUCUACAAGAGCCACUUGUACAUGAUCAGCCUGACAGAAAAAUAGUUCAAGGACAACAGUCCUAGAGAUUUCUUCAAGCUGUAAAGGUUUUGCACUCAGCAAAAUGCAUAGAACUUGAUUAGCCUGGGAGAUGCCACAUAAACCUCAUACUACAGUUCAUUAGUUUGAUCAUUGUGAAAGCUGAGAGAAAACAGCUGAUGUGAUACAGAUAAACUUGUACACUGUGGCUGAUUCUGCAAAGUACUGUAGAGCCUCAGCUCAUGCAGUAGUCUAUGCUUAAAAAAAAAGGAAAGCACAGAAGGUGCCCUUAGCCUCUACAGAAAUGAGAUCAAUAUCCACGUUAAUAGAAAUUGUACCUCAGAAAGGACAGUGCUGAGACAUCAAGCAUUAUCUUUAUAACUCAGUGACUCCCCUGGGUCACUCAAGGUUUACUCAAGAAUUAUUUCACUUUGGUUAGUGUUAACUGAA
Molecule: long non-coding RNA, 2098 nt
Organism: Pezoporus occidentalis (night parrot)
Lineage: Eukaryota; Metazoa; Chordata; Aves; Psittaciformes; Psittacidae
Exons: 2
Source: RefSeq, a predicted model, not a curated record